RNAcentral lists this ribosomal RNA (468 nucleotides) under uncultured bacterium. Its description in RNAcentral is "partial 16S ribosomal RNA". It matches the Rfam family "Bacterial small subunit ribosomal RNA", at positions 28 to 507 of the family's 1533-position model. The record is from RNAcentral.
GACGAACGCUGGCGGCGUGCUUAAUACAUGCAAGUCGAACGGAAAGGCCCUGCUUUUGUGGGGUGCUCGAGUGGCGAACGGGGGAGUAACACGUGAGUAUCCUGCCCUUGUCUUUGGGAUAACUUCAGGAAACUGGGGCUAGUACCGGAUAGGAGCUCCUGCUGCAUGGUGGGGGUUGGAAAGUUUCGGCGGUUGGGGAUGGACUCGCUGGUUAUCAGCUUGAUGGUGGGGUAGUGGCUUACGAAGGCUUUGAGGGGUAGCCGGCCUGGGAGGGUUAACGGGGGCAUGGGGCCUGAGGGAGGCACCAGAAUGGUACGGGAGGCAGCGGUGGAGAGUAUUGCGGAAUGGGGGGGAGCGUGAUGCGGAGGUGUCGGGUGCGGGAUGACGGGUUUCGGGUUGAAAACCGCUGUGGCAUGUGACGAGGCGUGAGUGACGGUAAUGGGUAAGAAAGCACCGGCUAACUACGUG